UGGCUCAGUGAGGCGUCCGGACUGGCCCAGGGAGGUGGGCAACUACCACCCAGGGCCGGAAAGCUCUCCAAACUCGGUCAUUUAGAGGAAGUAAAAGUCGUAACAAGGUCUCCGUUGGUGAACCAGCGGAGGGAUCAUUACCGAGUUAUCCAACUCCCAACCCCUGUGAAUCAUACCUUUAAUUGUUGCUUCGGCGGGACUUCGCGCCCGCCGGGGACCCGAACCUUCUGAAUUUUUUAAUAAGUAUCUUCUGAGUGGUUAAAAAAAUGAAUCAAAACUUUCAACAACGGAUCUCUUGGUUCUGGCAUCGAUGAAGAACGCAGCGAAAUGCGAUAAGUAAUGUGAAUUGCAGAAUUCAGUGAAUCAUCGAAUCUUUGAACGCACAUUGCGCCCGUCAGUAUUCUGGCGGGCAUGCCUGUUCGAGCGUCAUUACGCCCCUCAAGUCCCCUGUGGACUUGGUGUUGGGGAUCGGCGAGGCUGGUUUUCCAGCACAGCCGUCCCUUAAAUUAAUUGGCGGUCUCGCCGUGGCCCUCCUCUGCGCAGUAGUAAAACACUCGCAACAGGAGCCCGGCGCGGUCCACUGCCGUAAAACCCCCCAACUUUUUAUAGUUGACCUCGAAUCAGGUAGGACUACCCGCUGAACUUAAGCAUAUCAAUAAGCGGAGGAAAAGAAACCAACAGG
This 682-nucleotide ribosomal RNA is filed under the name Metarhizium anisopliae. RNAcentral describes it as "eukaryotic LSU rRNA". The stretch from base 276 to 429 matches the Rfam family "5.8S ribosomal RNA". Lineage: Eukaryota; Fungi; Ascomycota; Sordariomycetes; Hypocreales; Clavicipitaceae. The record is from RNAcentral.